UGUAUGCUAAAACACACAAAUGUAAUAUAACAAAAUAUUAAACAACAACACUCGAAACUAUGUUGAUAACAAUACCGUUAACAGGAAUUAUAUUAUCAGUUGAAUGCGCUUUGGUGUGAAAAUAAUUCACAAUCGUUAGUGCGGUGACGUUAUACAUUGAAAUAAGAAGCAUAAUGAGUUUAAUGAGCCAAUUCUCUUUCAAGAUAUCGGCGCACGUGACAUUUAUUUAAAUGGGCAAUAGCACACACAAUUGUGUGAUAAACUAGCCGUGUUGCUUUGUCGUUAAAACAACGAACCAUGGUUUUAAUUAAACUAAUAUAUAGUGUUGUAAUAUAUUCAUGCAUCAAUAUCGCAUAUACGCAAAGUACAUUUGCACUGGAGACUUCACCCUUGGACAAAACAACUUCGGUGAGUUCUCUUUCUUCUGCCGGAGACGUUCAAAUAUCAUUUCAUCCAGACUUAUCAUCCGACCCCACUACAUCACAGCAACCGCCUGCAAAGACGCCAUGGGAUUUCAUUUUAUCAAUGCCGUGUAUUAUCCCAAUCGCCGCUGGUUGGGGCCUCGUGGUUAUACUUAGUGUGAUACUUGUUAUUUGCGUAAGAAAAAGACAAAAGGAAAACUCAAUUUAUAAAGCAGAGCUGAGGCACGAUUUGCAGAAGACCCCGAGAUUGGCGUCAUACGAUAAGCUGAAGAGUGGACACUAUUCAAAUGACUUUCUUGAAGACACAUCACGCGGAUAUUCCGAGGUUAAAGAGUUAAAGAUUGCAAGAGAUUUGCGAACGGAAUACGAAACUGUGAACGAGGUGCUGAGUAACAAUGCAGCUUGUUGCGCUCCAGUGGCGUCCAAUGAUGAACUUGACUGUAAACACUAUGCCAACACGUUUUCGAAAGAAACCCCACACGGAUAUACUAAUGUCACUAAAUUCAGAAUGAAUAUAAAACAUUGACUCGUGUACCGUACACAAUACUUGUGAGUAUCGACUCUCCAUUGUGUAUGACACAGUCGCAUAUUGAUGGGGCGCAAUGACUGGACGCUCGUAAGGACGUAUGGUAAUUUAAGGUCAUUCUCCAAAAGAAAAAGUGAACAGGAAAAAGAAAUGAACUGUAAUAUAAUAAUUGUCAUCAUUUAAAUGUACACCUUCUAUUAAUGUAUAUUUUUGUGUGUAUCGUUUUUGUGUAGUUGAAUAUUUGUAUAUACAUAUAAGUAUAUAUGACUUCUUAACAUAGUAUUUAUUUUGAAAAUGUACGUAUGCACCAUUUCCAUUAGCAUUCCUUAUUUCUACUUGCUCAUGAUUUUUAAAGACAUAUUGCCAGAUCCUGCCUUAAUUGAUUCUCACAUUUGCUCGUGCGAUAAAAGACAGCGUUUUCGAGUAGGUGUGCAUUCUUAACGGUCUCAUACUAAUAUUUAAGCAAACAUAUACUUCGAUAUUUUGAAAAGAUAAAUUAUCACAAUUUAAAACAUAAUAUGGAAUUGAAUCAGUAGUGAUGUGUAGUACCCCAAUAGUAUGCAACAACUGGUGAUUCCGUCUUAUAAACGACAUAUGCUUUUAUUAAUUAAGACCUAAUGCCAGUUGAUGAAUUGGUUAUAUUUAAUGUCAAAGUGAUUGAAACAUACGUUAGUGUUUUUGUUUUGUUAAUACAUGUUCUUUUGAUUUUCGCGAGUAGUUCAUAAGAAUAAUUAAUAUAUAGUGUUAAAUAUUGGAAAAGUUUACACAAACGUUUGUUACUGGCAGCUGUUUUGGGAGUGAAGUAAGCUUUAAUGUUGAUUUGUUAUUUACCUCCCAUCUUCUUAUUCACAUAUGUCUUCAUAUACAUAUUCACAAAUUUCUUUGAUUAAAUCGACUUUUCUGUU
This is a long non-coding RNA of Dreissena polymorpha, 1853 nucleotides long. RefSeq lists it as uncharacterized. Lineage: Eukaryota; Metazoa; Mollusca; Bivalvia; Myida; Dreissenidae. The record is from RefSeq and is a predicted model, not a curated record. The transcript is spliced from 4 exons.